Molecule: small nuclear RNA, 181 nt
Filed under: Felis catus (domestic cat)
Lineage: Eukaryota; Metazoa; Chordata; Mammalia; Carnivora; Felidae
Description: 7SK RNA
Rfam family: 7SK RNA
About the family: 7SK was discovered as an abundant small nuclear RNA in the mid-70s but a possible function has only recently been suggested. Two independent studies have found that 7SK RNA binds the CDK9/cyclin T complex (known as elongation factor P-TEFb).
Source: Rfam by way of RNAcentral
GGAGGUGAGGUCAAUCUGGCCGCAACAUCUGUCCGCCCACUGAUUGUCAGGGUUGAUUUGGUUGAUCUGGCUGGCGAGGUGAGUGCCCCCUUCCUUCCUCGCCACUCCAUCGUGUCCUUCCCAAAGUUGUACACUUGGUCAAAGAAGACAACCUUCCCUAGAAGGCCGUUCUUUGCUAGCU